AUGCUCGGUAACACAUACACCAAAGUUGGAAUAUUGCAGAGACGAUCAGUAUGACCCCUGCAAGAGGACGGCAGGCAAAUCCGUGGAGCAUUCUCUCUUUAC
Molecule: small nuclear RNA, 102 nt
Organism: Chionomys nivalis (European snow vole)
Lineage: Eukaryota; Metazoa; Chordata; Mammalia; Rodentia; Cricetidae
Source: RefSeq, a predicted model, not a curated record